This is a long non-coding RNA of Carassius auratus (goldfish), 548 nucleotides long. RefSeq lists it as uncharacterized. The record is from RefSeq and is a predicted model, not a curated record. Lineage: Eukaryota; Metazoa; Chordata; Actinopteri; Cypriniformes; Cyprinidae. The transcript has 3 exons.
AGAAGUUCAGGUGUGUGGUUGAUGACUGUGAAGAUGGCAGACUGAAAAAAGGACUACAGUUGGAAGCAGCUAUUCUGCUCUUGCCUGCACUGUUUAAGGAGGACCCGGGGUUGCUGUUUGAAGUUGAGGGCCAUGCUCAGACCUGCCCUCCUGACACACCAACACCUAAAAUGGUGCUCAAAGGCUGCAGGGAGGGUAAUCCCAUGCAAUACGACCACAUUGUCGUCAUGUUGGAUGGCCAGUCCAUUACUGAGGAGAGUGAGGACAUCUCAAUGGCACUGGGCCUCAUCCUUUGCACAUAUUUUCUGUUUGGGAUCCAAUAUCCUAAAGGACUGAAAAAGACACUGACCUUCCUGGAGUGCAUUGUCUUAAAAAUGAAGGAUGCAGCCGGACUUCCCGUCACAAUUAAAAGAGUGUACAGCUCAAUCUGUGCAUAGAGUCUCUCUGUCUCUCUCUCAUAUUCCAUUUUCUAUUUUUUCAGCCAGUGUUGUUAGUUAAAAAGCACUGAUUAUAUUUGCAACUAAAAUAAAUGAAUUAAACUGUUAAAA